This 77-nucleotide transfer RNA is filed under the name Candidatus Sumerlaeaceae bacterium. RNAcentral describes it as "tRNA-Arg". It matches the Rfam family "tRNA". From Rfam's summary of the family: Transfer RNA (tRNA) molecules are approximately 80 nucleotides in length. Their secondary structure includes four short double-helical elements and three loops (D, anti-codon, and T loops). The record is from RNAcentral. Lineage: Bacteria; Candidatus Sumerlaeota; Candidatus Sumerlaeia; Candidatus Sumerlaeales; Candidatus Sumerlaeaceae.
GUACCCAUAGCUCAAUUGGAUAGAGCGUCAGACUACGAAUCUGAAGGUUGGGGGUUCGAUUCCCUCUGGGUACACCA